UACGUAGGGGGCAAGCGUUGUCCGGAUUUAUUGGGCGUAAAGCGUGCGUAGGUGGUUCGUUGUGUCUGUGGUGAAAGCCCCGGGCUUAACCUGGGAAUGGCCAUGGAAACUGGCGAGCUGGAGUCUGGCAGAGGGGGGUGGAAUUCCGCGUGUAGCAGUGAAAUGCGUAGAGAUGCGGAGGAACACCGAUGGCGAAGGCAGCCCCCUGGGCUAAGACUGACGCUGAGGCACGAAAGCGUGGGGAGCAAACAGG
RNAcentral lists this ribosomal RNA (253 nucleotides) under uncultured bacterium. Its description in RNAcentral is "partial 16S ribosomal RNA". It matches the Rfam family "Bacterial small subunit ribosomal RNA", at positions 524 to 776 of the family's 1533-position model. The record is from RNAcentral.